UACGAAGGGGGCUAGCGUUGCUCGGAAUCACUGGUCGUAAAGGGUGCGUAGGCGGGUCUUUAAGUCAGGGGUGAAAUCCUGGAGCUCAACUCCAGAACUGCCUUUGAUACUGAAGAUCUUGAGUUCGGGAGAGGUGAGUGGAACUGCGAGUGUAGAGGUGAAAUUCGUAGAUAUUCGCAAGAACACCAGUGGCGAAGGCGGCUCACUGGCCCGAUACUGACGCUGAGGCACGAAAGCGUGGGGAGCAAACAGG
This 253-nucleotide ribosomal RNA is filed under the name uncultured bacterium. RNAcentral describes it as "partial 16S ribosomal RNA". It matches the Rfam family "Bacterial small subunit ribosomal RNA", at positions 524 to 776 of the family's 1533-position model. The record is from RNAcentral.